CCAUUACUGUGACUUGUUGUCUGAAACAGUGACUGAAGAUGGCAUCUCCCGCCUGUAUGAAGCUUUUCAGGAAGUGCCUUUGACAUGUGACAGGACCACAGGGCACAUCCUCAAUAGACAUUACAAAUGGCUGCAGAAGCUUGGAAAUCUCGUGUCGGGUUCCGCAUUCGACUAGGGAACCGGGACCGACACAGAAGACCUCUUUGUCCUGCUAUGACAUCUAGAGGCUAACAGGAGCCAGCCAGGCCCACCACUGAUCACAUCUCUUGGGAGACGGCAAAGCAGCUGCUGCAUGGGAAGGAGGAGAGAGAAGAGGCAGAGCAGGAUGUGCCGGGGUGCACCAGUCACACAUAACCUCACAGUCUAGGCGGCGGAAGCCAAGCCCCUCCCCAGCCCUGCCGGACAUGCUACAACUGGAGCACCAGUGUGAAAGG
Molecule: long non-coding RNA, 434 nt
Organism: Mauremys reevesii (Reeves's turtle)
Lineage: Eukaryota; Metazoa; Chordata; Testudines; Geoemydidae
Exons: 3
Source: RefSeq, a predicted model, not a curated record